GUUGUGCCCUUGAGGCGUGGCUUCCGGAGCUAACGCGUUAAGUCGACCGCCUGGGGAGUACGGCCGCAAGGUUAAAACUCAAAUGAAUUGACGGGGGCCCGCACAAGCGGUGGAGCAUGUGGUUUAAUUCGAUGCAACGCGAAGAACCUUACCUGGUCUUGACAUCCACAGAACUUUCCAGAGAUGGAUUGGUGCCUUCGGGAACUGUGAGACAGGUGCUGCAUGGCUGUCGUCAGCUCGUGUUGUGAAAUGUUGGGUUAAGUCCCGCAACGAGCGCAACCCUUAUCCUUUGUUGCCAGCGGUCCGGCCGGGAACUCAAAGGAGACUGCCAGUGAUAAACUGGAGGAAGGUGGGGAUGACGUCAAGUCAUCAUGGCCCUUACGACCAGGGCUACACACGUGCUACAAUGGCGCAUACAAAGAGAAGCGACCUCGCGAGAGCAAGCGGACCUCAUAAAGUGCGUCGUAGUCCGGAUUGGAGUCUGCAACUCGACUCCAUGAAGUCGGAAUCGCUAGUAAUCGUGGAUCAGAAUGCCACGGUGAAUACGUUCCCGGGCCUUGUACACACCGCCCGUCACACCAUGGGAGUGGGUUGCAAAAGAAGUAGGUAGCUUAACCUUCGGGAGGGCGCUUACCACUUUGUGAUUCAUGACUGGGGUGAAGUCGUAACAAGGUAACCGUAGGGGAACCUGCGGUUGGA
This 699-nucleotide ribosomal RNA is filed under the name Escherichia coli. RNAcentral's name for it is "bacterial SSU rRNA". It matches the Rfam family "Bacterial small subunit ribosomal RNA", at positions 823 to 1522 of the family's 1533-position model. Lineage: Bacteria; Pseudomonadati; Pseudomonadota; Gammaproteobacteria; Enterobacterales; Enterobacteriaceae. The record is from RNAcentral.